AUCCUCCAAGUGGCGUGAUCACUCACCUACUCUUCCAUCUCCAUAAGCUCUUCUCUUCUCCUUCCUUUCUACUCUUUCAAUUGUUCAUGUUUAAGCUUGUUUCCUUGAAAUUCUGUCUUGUGUUCUUGAGUUUGUGGUUCGGCUGUUCUUAUUUUCCAGCAAUCCUUUUCAGUUCUUUUGCCUUUAAAUUCAUUUUGUUCGGUUCAUAUUGGUUCUUAU
This 219-nucleotide long non-coding RNA is filed under the name Phaseolus vulgaris (common bean). RNAcentral describes it as "long non-coding RNA (PVUL_LNC000602)". Lineage: Eukaryota; Viridiplantae; Streptophyta; Magnoliopsida; Fabales; Fabaceae. The record is from RNAcentral.